RNAcentral lists this ribosomal RNA (478 nucleotides) under uncultured Planctomycetales bacterium. RNAcentral describes it as "bacterial SSU rRNA". It matches the Rfam family "Bacterial small subunit ribosomal RNA", at positions 365 to 833 of the family's 1533-position model. The record is from RNAcentral. Lineage: Bacteria; Pseudomonadati; Planctomycetota; Planctomycetia; Planctomycetales.
UUCGCAAUGCCCGAAAGGGUGACGAAGCGACGCCGCGUGUGGGAAGAAGGCCUUCGGGUUGUAAACCACUGUCGGGAGUUAAGAAAUGUAAGGGUGUUAAUAGUAUCCUUACUUGACUAAGGCUCCGGAGGAAGCCACGGCUAACUCUGUGCCAGCAGCCGCGGUAAUACAGAGGCGGCAAGCGUUGUUUGGAAUUAUUGGGCGUAAAGAGCACGUAGGCGGCUAUAUAAGUCGGUUGUGAAAGCCUUCCGCUCAACGGGAGAACAGCAUCCGAUACUGUGUGGCUUGAGUGUGGGAGGGGAGAGCGGAACUUCUGGUGGAGCGGUGAAAUGCGUAGAUAUCAGAAGGAACGCCGGCGGCGAAAGCGACUCUCUGGCCCGUAACUGACGCUGAGUGUGCGAAAGCUAGGGGAGCAAACGGGAUUAGAUACCCCGGUAGUCCUAGCCGUAAACGAUGGGCACUAAGUAGAGGGGUUUUA